GUUUUCCAAGUGGGCAGCAGGGGAUGUCAAGGUAGAUCCAUACCAACUGGCAUUCGAGCACAAUGUGUUGUUUGUGUCUGACUGGACGAGGCUUGGGUUCUUUGAGGUUGACUAUGGGUGGGGUGCACCAAACCAUAUCAUACCAUUCACUUAUGCUGACUACAUGGCAGUGGCAGUUCUUGGAGCUCCACCUUCGCCGAAGAAGGGAACCCGAAUUAUGACACAGUGCGUGGAGGAGAAGCAUCUCAUGGACUUCAAGGAUCAGAUGAAGACCUUCUUUUAGGGGCUUGUCUUAUAUUGUUACGGUGCCAAUGCUAU
Molecule: long non-coding RNA, 318 nt
Filed under: Setaria italica (foxtail millet)
Lineage: Eukaryota; Viridiplantae; Streptophyta; Magnoliopsida; Poales; Poaceae
Description: long non-coding RNA (SITA_LNC002284)
Source: RNAcentral